GAUUUUACAGUUACUGGUAACCGAGUAGUGUGCUCUAAUCUGAGAAUCGGUUUUCCGAAGUUAUAUUAUUCCUGCAGAGUUUGUACUAGAUAAUGUACUAAACCUUUAUGUUUGAAAGAUAGUCGUCGGCUUCAAAAGAAAAGUUUAUAUGUUUUGAUAUCUAUGACUCUUCAAUCAAUGAGUGACUUUCUCUGAAUUCAAAAACUUGAACUGAGCGAUAAAGUAAACAUUUUUUUCGGUGGAGGAAAAGGAGGGCUGUUGUGCAUUACAUUGGAAAAACAUGAAGAGCACGUGGAGGAUAGUCACAGCUAUACUAAUAUUUUGGCUUUUUAUCCUCAUCUAUAUGAGUGCCAACCUAUAUCAAUCAAGCGACGUCACCGAAAAUGCAGAGCGUCAAUUAACUAGGGCUAUGAAAGAAUUAGACGAUCUUAGGGAACAGAAUAAGAAAUUAUAUUCACUGGCAGAAGAGCUUCGGCAUCUGAAAGAAAUUGCCCAAAAGGGUGGAAAAAAUUGCGAGGAGUUACAAAGUAGGCUAGACGACGCUAAUUCAAAACUUAAAUCAGUAGGCGCAAAAGAAACGGAAUCAGAGAAAUUAUCUCUUACUGACUUUUCUCCGAGUUCUGAAAUGGAGAAAUCUAGGCGAAAAAUUGAGAAUGGCGUUCAAGAAAUGUGGUUUUUUCUUCGAUCCCAGCUAGGAAAAUUGAAAGAAAGCCUAGGAAAGGAUUCGCCAAUUAAUCAGAAAGUUGAUAAAAUUUUAGAAAAUGGAGCUGAUCAUAGCCGAACAAUACAAACUGAUUUGCAUCGACUUUAUGAAUCUGAACCAAUGGCAACUUGGAGAAAGAAGGAAGCAGAAGACUUAUCCGAUAUCAUUCAACGACGGCUUUUUUAUUUACAAAAUCCGAGUGAUUGUUCAGCGGCUAAAAAGCUUAUUUGUAAUAUCAAUAAAGGAUGCGGAUACGGUUGCCAAUUGCAUCAUUUAGUAUACUGCUUUAUGAUUGCUUUUGGUACUAAGAGGACACUAAUUUUGGAAUCUCACGGCUGGAGAUAUUCGCCAGGUGGAUGGGAGACAGUAUUUCAGCCCAUAAGCAGAACUUGUAAAAGUCCAGGCAGUGACAUGAGAAGGAUGUGGGGCCCUCCUGAAGUCAUUGAAAAUGUCAAAGUUGUUGAAUUGCCAAUAGUCGAUUCUCUACGACCAAGACCGCCAUUUUUACCUCAGGUCGUACCUCUCGAUUUAGCAGAACGUUUAGACCGUCUUCAUGGCUCUCCUGGAGUUUGGUUUGUUGGACAAUUCAUGAAAUAUUUGCUCAAACCCAAUUCGGAUUUGCUUAAGGAAAUAGAAAAGGCGGAAAAUCGCCUCGAUUUUAAGGGGCCUAUAGUUGGAGUUCAUGUGAGAAGAACUGAUAAGAUAGGAACUGAAGCUUCAUUUCAUAGUAUAGAAGAAUAUAUGUACCAUGUCGAGGACUAUUAUAAAUACUUGGAGAAGCAGAAUAAGGAUAUAGGAAAAAAACGUAUCUAUCUAGCAACAGACGAUCCGGAAUUAUUGUCGGAAGCUACAAUGAAGUAUCCUAAUUAUGUUUUUGUUAGCGAUGUGGAUUUCUCUAAAACAGCUAGUAUGGGAACUCGUUAUUCCCAUGCAUCUCUGAUAGCCGUUAUAUUAGAUAUACAUUUCCUCUCAAAAUCUGACUUUCUUGUUUGUACAUUUUCCUCACAAGUUUGUCGAGUAGCCUACGAAAUUAUGCAGACUUUACACCCCGAUGCAUCUGCAAGAUUCCGUUCAUUAGAUGAUAUCUAUUACUAUGGUGGCCAAAACGCUCAUAAUCAGGUUGCUAUCGCCAAUCACCAGGCGCAGGACGGAGAAAUCGAGUUAAGAGUAGGAGAUACUAUUGGUAUAGCUGGUAACCAUUGGGACGGAUAUUCGAAAGGCUUAAAUCGUCGUUCUAGUCGAACAGGCCUCUACCCGUCUUACAAAGUUGCUGAAAAAUUAGUUGUCGCUAAAUUUCCUACAUUGGGUGUUGAAAGCAGGAAAACUGUUGAUAAACAGUAAUCUUAAAAAAUAAUCUGAUCUAUUCUAAAAUCCAAAGCUUUUUU
RNAcentral lists this unclassified non-coding RNA (2088 nucleotides) under Dimorphilus gyrociliatus. Its description in RNAcentral is "alpha-(1,6)-fucosyltransferase". Lineage: Eukaryota; Metazoa; Annelida; Polychaeta; Dinophilidae. The record is from RNAcentral.